This is a non-coding RNA of Zea mays, 202 nucleotides long. The record is from Rfam. Lineage: Eukaryota; Viridiplantae; Streptophyta; Magnoliopsida; Poales; Poaceae.
AUAUCUUUCUCAGUCUUUUGACUAAAAUAAAAUGUAAUGUUUAUUCUUAUCAAUUUAAUAUAUGGUCUAUAGACAAUAUGCUCACUUUGGUAUUAAAUUUAUUUACUAUUGAUAUUUUUUGGGAGGGUGUGUACGACUGGUUUACUUCGCUCAACCAUUGAUUGUAUUGCGGGUACAGCCUCGCCCUCUCAACCAAUAACAU